RNAcentral lists this ribosomal RNA (504 nucleotides) under uncultured bacterium. RNAcentral's name for it is "bacterial SSU rRNA". It matches the Rfam family "Bacterial small subunit ribosomal RNA", at positions 28 to 517 of the family's 1533-position model. The record is from RNAcentral.
GAUGAACGCUAGCUACAGGCUUAACACAUGCAAGUCGAGGGGAAACGAUAUUGGAAGCUUGCUUCCGAUAGGCGUCGACCGGCGCACGGGUGAGUAACGCGUAUCCAACCUGCCCAUCACUUGGGGAUAACCCUUGCGAAAGUAAGACUAAUACCCAAUGACGUCUCUAGAAGACAUCUGAAGGAGAUUAAAGAUUUAUCGGUGAUGGAUGGGGAUGCGUCUGAUUAGCUUGUUGGCGGGGUAACGGCCCACCAAGGCGACGAUCAGUAGGGGUUCUGAGAGGAAGGUCCCCCACAUUGGAACUGAGACACGGUCCAAACUCCUACGGGAGGCAGCAGUGAGGAAUAUUGGUCAAUGGGCGAGAGCCUGAACCAGCCAAGUAGCGUGCAGGAUGACGGCCCUAUGGGUUGUAAAACUGCUUUUAUAAGGGAAUAAAGUGGGAGUCGUGACUCUUUUUGCAUGUACCUUAUGAAUAAGGACCGGCUAAUUCCGUGCCAGCAGCCG